AUUGAACGCUGGCGGCAUGCUUUACACAUGCAAGUCGAAAGGUAACAGGGUGCUUGCACCGCUGACGAGUGGCGAACGGGUGAGUAAUGCGUCGGAACGUGCCGAGUAGUGGGGGAUAACGCAGCGAAAGUUGUGCUAAUACCGCAUCCGUACUGCGGUAUAAAGUGGGGUACCUUCGGGCCCCACGCUAGUCGAGCGGCCGACGUCGGAUGAGCUAGUAGGUGGGGUAAAGGCUCACCUAGGCGACGAUCAGUAGCGGGUCUGAGAGGAUGGUCCGCCACACUGGGGCUGAGACACGGCCCAGACUCCUACGGGAGGCAGCAGUGGGGAAUUUUGGACAAUGGGCGAAAGCCUGAUCCAGCCAUGCCGCGUGUCUGAAGAAGGCCUUCGGGUUGUAAAGGACUUUUGUCAGGGAGGAAAUCCCUAGUGCUAAUAACACUGGGGGAUGACAGUACCUGAAGAAUAAGCACCGGCUAACUACGUGCCAGCAGCCGCAGUAA
This 500-nucleotide ribosomal RNA is filed under the name uncultured bacterium. RNAcentral describes it as "partial 16S ribosomal RNA". It matches the Rfam family "Bacterial small subunit ribosomal RNA", at positions 30 to 523 of the family's 1533-position model. The record is from RNAcentral.